GGAAGAUGGUUGAACUCUUGCAUAUUAUAACAUCCAAAAGAAGUCAACGCUUCACCUGGUUUGAUAUCAAUCUCACUUUCUUCACGGGUAAUUUGGAAUUGCGUGUUAAUUCCAAAGUUUCUUUAAUACAAACUAUUGGAACUACUGUUUUUAUUAAGACCAGAGACUAAGUUGGACAAUAUUUGGAAGUAAGGUAGUUGAUUGAAACCACAAAGCUCAAACCAGGAAGAAAAAAAAAGUAAAAAAAGAAAAAAGAAGAAGAGAAGAGCACGUUGGAUGAAACACACUCGCGAGAGGAGGAAGCCUGUCAAAAACCUCAACGAUGUUAACGUGAAUUUUGGAAGGAAAAAACAAAACCUCAUUUAAAGUUUGAUCAUGUGUUAAGUGGUUAUAUUGUUUGAGUGAUUUAAAUUUAACGAAAUGCGAGACCUAAAUGAUGAGCCUCAUGGUCCCAUAUUACAUAUAUGUUUUAUGCGUUAUCUAUUUUAAUAGAGGUGCUAGUU
RNAcentral lists this long non-coding RNA (503 nucleotides) under Prunus persica (peach). Its description in RNAcentral is "long non-coding RNA (PPER_LNC001745)". The record is from RNAcentral. Lineage: Eukaryota; Viridiplantae; Streptophyta; Magnoliopsida; Rosales; Rosaceae.